Chinchilla lanigera (long-tailed chinchilla) is the source of this 2611-nucleotide long non-coding RNA. The record is from Ensembl. Lineage: Eukaryota; Metazoa; Chordata; Mammalia; Rodentia; Chinchillidae.
CUUUUACAGUGGCACUUCUUUUGGGAAGAAUCAUGAGUUAACCGUAAAAGGGUGAAUGUUUUUCCUGUUCAGCAUGACAGUUACUUGAGCUUUCUUUCCUUCCUUCAUUUUCCCCCCUUUUGUUACCUUGCCUUCCUUUCUCUUUGAGGCAGUAUCACAUCACUCUAUAAGAAAUCAUUGCCCUAAUUAGCAGGGCCGGUUCUAAGCCAGUUUGCUUCUAACUGUGAGAACCUGAACCGAUCAAUCCCCCUUUCCUUGUCUGUAGCUCCCUCACUUAACAAAGGGGUUCAGCCUCAAUCACAUCUGGGUAACUUUCUGUUCUAGCACUCCUUUGACUCAAAAAUGAGUCUGGAGCCCAGCAAACGGUACUUAACUCUUCAGACAUCAUGGCAAGUUGGUAGGUCAAAGUAUCCACUCCAGUGUGAGGCUAAGACCCCAAGGCCCAAUAGUUGCUAUAGAUCUUCUUUCUAACAAGGUGCCCAGGGUACCAUUAGGGCUAAUUGAGUGUUCAGAGACCACCAGUUCCCAAAAAUAAGCGAUCUUCCUCACUCCUCAACAAGUUUCAGAGGGACUAAUUAAUUAGGCAAUUUCAAAUAAGAAAACUUCCCAGGUGAUCAUUGAUGUGCAGCUCUGAAACUUAUCUCCGGAGACCCCACAAGUCACACAGCAAAGAGCACGGUUGCUAAGGACAGAGAAUGGCUUUGUAAAUUGGUGAAGGUCAACAUGACUGCUUCACUAGCUGCUGUCCUGUCUUCUUUGGAUUUAUCCCCUUAGGUUACAAAAUAAAAUAACACAAACAUACUCCAGUUCAGCCAAAGUUAGCAAACCCAGGAGAUCAAGUUAACUUGUGAAGUGGGAAGCCUGCAGAAAGGCUACCAUUUCAACCCUCUUUAUAUGGAAGAUCGGGGGUCUUUUAGAAGGAGCCUCUAGGUUAGAACAGUUCCUGAUCAUGAACAAGUUAUUUAAAACUCUUGGGUUGCAUGUCCUCCAAAUGUAAAGAGAGGCUCAGGAAGAGUAAUCCCAGUGGCGCGUUCCGCGAGCUGUCGCGUGCAUGUGCCUGGAACACGGUAAGAGUGCAGCAGCUGCUCGGCCUCAGCACUGGUAGCCGUCACCGUCAUAGCCACCACUGCCGUUUUCACCCAGGCUCUUUAUUACAUCAGCUCCUACCAGGUCCCCCUGCGUCUCCUCACCCCCUUCAUCCCGACGAUCUUGUGCAGAGCCAGCUCCCCAACUGGCAAAGGACAGACUCAAGAGCAUUUGCACCCGUGGAACGCAGCCCUCCUGUGCGUUACUGCUGCGGUGAUAUAAGGAAUGUAGGAACGUCGGGGCUCUCGAAACUCUGACCUGUGUGUUUCUACGUCAUGUCGCAGAUUCCAUCCCGAAUGUCUGCCCACCCCAGCAGACAUCCCUGUUCCCUUCUGCUGGAGCAGAACCGCUGGCCGGUGGAGGUGCCCGCCCCGCCUCACCUGGUGGCGCUGGAUCCCGAGGCUCCGAGCCUCCCAACCUGCAGACAGAAGCACUCCACGAAGGCACACAAAUCAGCCAGAGACCGGUGACUUCACAGACGUGGCUGCCACACCAGGACAGAAAUUGGGCCACACAGAAUCUUCUUCUCUUUAAGGUAUAAAAUCAUAACAGGGAAAGCAAGCAGAAUCCUUCUCCUGACUGUAUUCUCGCACUUGUGUUCUCUUCCAACGGACGAAAGCUAAACAACCCAAACCCGGUCCACUGCCCCAGACUGGAUUAGUUUUGCCCAUUGUGCGACAGAAAAUCGAAAAUGACAGUAACUUACAUGACUUCUUUACUCCCUAAAACAUGUCAGAGGGGAGCUAAUACCAAUUGAAAUGUCUGUAAGUGACCUAAUGAUCUCCUCAUGGUACAUAAUAGCGGCUACAAAUCCAGCCAUUUAAUCCUCAUUCCUCACAGAGAGGACAAAGUGGGAGAAAAACUAGUAACCUGAAAAUCUAAGGAGACUUUCUAGAUGCACCUCAGAAAUUUUCUACUAAAGUAUCAUUCACUGGUCAGCACUUGAGGAUGUGAUCAAGCCGCCUAGAGAGCGUUUGGAGAACGAAGUCCUUUCUGUCGACGGCAAUGUGCUGGGCUGAACUGAGGGACCCGCGGCAGCAGGAAUAAAAGGCUGGCUUUCUCUGUUUGGUUGAGCUCCUUCUCUCCCAGCCAUUCUUUCUCCUGCGUGGUCUCACUACCAUGAUGGCACUCGUGUGAGGGCGAAAAGCUAAAUCUUGCCGCCCGGGACCUCAGUUGGAAGCUCAGACUCACUGUGCCCACUGCCCAUCUGCCCUGCGUUGCCCUCGGGCUUUGCAGCUGCCCGGUAUCGCCGGUUCCACUCGCUUCCACCCCUCCGCCUCCCUGGAACCCAAGCACCUCCGGGCGGGGCGCUGCCGGACCCGUGUACCGCUAGAUCCUCAGAGCGCGAGAAAAUAGCUGCAACUCAGCAGUCGCUGUGGGCAAAAAUUUUAGUAUAAUAAUCAUUUCAUCCAUUAAAAUGCCUAUUCAGAAAAAUAUUAAAUGGAAUAUAACUUUUUUACUUUUUGUAUUUUAUUUUAAAGAGAGUAGUAAAAGAGGAAAAAAGAGAACAAUAGCAGCAUACCAG